AAGAUCAUACUUUUAGGGAUCAUUUCUAUAGUAUGCAUCGCCAAGACGUCAAGUAACACUGACGAACCAUCGAGACCACGAUGACGAGACAGAGCCUCCCUUUCUGAGCGCGAAGCGGGCUGGGAGUGUCACCUUCUUGGUGACCUGCUCCUUGUCAUUGAUGACCGUUCCUCUCUUCCUUUUGUGGGGAGUUGGAGGAAGGGGAGGCAUUCUGAGUGGC
Molecule: small nucleolar RNA, 220 nt
Filed under: Gigantopelta aegis
Lineage: Eukaryota; Metazoa; Mollusca; Gastropoda; Neomphalida; Peltospiridae
Description: small nucleolar RNA U3
Rfam family: Small nucleolar RNA U3
About the family: Small nucleolar RNAs (snoRNAs) are involved in the processing and modification of rRNA in the nucleolus. There are two main classes of snoRNAs: the box C/D class, and the box H/ACA class.
Source: RNAcentral